RNAcentral lists this non-coding RNA (875 nucleotides) under Lamellomphalus manusensis. Lineage: Eukaryota; Metazoa; Mollusca; Gastropoda; Neomphalida; Neomphalidae. The record is from RNAcentral.
CAAAAGUUUGGUUCUGGCUUAGCAUUUUGAUUGUGAUUACCAAAAAUACAUGGAAUUUCUGAGGAGAGUGAGGAUAAAAUAUUUUUUUAAAGAAAAAUAAAAUUUUUUUUUGACGAAGUUUUUGGUAUUAUUUUUGAGAAGAUGCCUAUUUCUAUUUCACUUCACCAGUAUUAAAGAUUAAUAAAUAUAGGAAACUAUGAUUUAGGGACUAAUCAAUAAACUUGGAAAAACUUGUGCCAGCCUCCGCGGUUAGACAAGUGGAGUUAAGUCAAAAUAUAACGGUUUAAAAGAUGGUUAGUUUGAGAAUAAGAUAGAUCUGAUUGUUUUUAUAAGUUAAAUUAGAAAAAUUAGUUUAAAAUUUUUUUCUGUCUUAAAAAUGAUGCCAUGAAAACUUUUAUUAAAACCAGGAUUAGAUACCCUGCUAUUUAAGAAGUAAAUAUAACAACAAUUAUACCUGAGUAUUACGAGUUUUAUGUCUUAAAACUUAAAGAACUUGGCGGUGCUCUAGACCCAGUCAGGGGAACCUGCCCCGUAAUCGAUAUUCCACGUAGUACCUGACUUUCUUUUGCAGUUCAGUUUGUAUACCGUCGUCAUCGGGUAACUUUUAAAAAGAAAGAAGUUAGCUAAAAGAAUUUUUUUUCUUUAUGUCAGAUCAAGGUGCAGCUAAUAAGAAAGGGGUGGUGGGUUACUGUGAAAAAUUUUUAAUGGAUCUUUCUAUGUAAUAAGUAAGUGAAAAAGGACUUGAGAGUAAGCUUUAGAAAGAGUGUUGAGCUGAACUAGGAUUUUAGAGUGUGCACAAAUCGCCCGUCGCUCUCGUUGAAAAAUGAGAUAAGUCGUAACAUAGUAAAGGUACCGGAAGGUGUCUUUAAAAUAAA